Molecule: ribosomal RNA, 112 nt
Filed under: Escherichia coli
Lineage: Bacteria; Pseudomonadati; Pseudomonadota; Gammaproteobacteria; Enterobacterales; Enterobacteriaceae
Source: RNAcentral
GCGGCCUUAGCGCGGUGGUCCCACCUGACCCCAUGCCGAACUCAGAAGUGAAACGCCGUAGCGCCGAUGGUAGUGUGGGGUUUCCCCAUGCGAGAGUAGGGAACUGCCAGGC